RNAcentral lists this ribosomal RNA (497 nucleotides) under uncultured bacterium. Its description in RNAcentral is "partial 16S ribosomal RNA". It matches the Rfam family "Bacterial small subunit ribosomal RNA", at positions 28 to 507 of the family's 1533-position model. The record is from RNAcentral.
GAUGAACGCUGGCGGCGUGCCUAAUACAUGCAAGUCGAGCGAACAGAUGAGGAGCUUGCUCCUCUGACGUUAGCGGCGGACGGGUGAGUAACACGUGGAUAACCUACCUAUAAGACUGGGAUAACUUCGGGAAACCGGAGCUAAUACCGGAUAAUAUAUUGAACCGCAUGGUUCAAUAGUGAAAGACGGUUUUGCUGUCACUUAUAGAUGGAUCCGCGCCGCAUUAGCUAGUUGGUAAGGUAACGGCUUACCAAGGCAACGAUGCGUAGCCGACCUGAGAGGGUGGUCGCCCACACUGGAACUGGGCCACGGUCCAGACUCCUACGGGAGGCAGCAGUAGGGAAUCUUCCGCAAUGGGCGAAAGCCUGACGGAGCAACGCCGCGUGAGUGAUGAAGGUCUUCGGAUCGUAAAACUCUGUUAUUAGGGAAGAACAAAUGUGUAAGUAACUAUGCACGUCUUGACGGUACCUAAUCAGAAAGCCACGGCUAACUACGUG